CGUGACGAUGAGUAUUUCGGUACGUAAAGUUCUUUUAUUAGGGAAGAAUAAAUGAUGGAAAAAUCAUUCUGACGGUACCUAAUGAAUAAGCCCCGGCUAACUAUGUGCCAGCAGCCGCGGUAAUACAUAGGGGGCAAGCGUUAUCCGGAAUUAUUGGGCGUAAAGGGUGCGUAGGCGGUUAAAUAAGUUUAUGGUCUAAGUGCAAUGCUCAACAUUGUGAUGCUAUAAAAACUGUUUAGCUAGAGUAAGAUAGAGGCAAGUGGAAUUCCAUGUGUAGUGGUAAAAUGCGUAAAUAUAUGGAGGAACACCAGUAGCGAAGGCGGCUUGCUGGGUCUUUACUGACGCUGAGGCACGAAAGCGUGGGGAGCAAACAGGAUUAGAUACCCUGGUAGUCCACGCCGUAAACGAUGAGUACUAAACGUUGGGUAAAACCAGUGUUGAAGUUAACACAUUAAGUACUCCGCCUGAGUAGUACGUACGCAAGUAUGAAACUUAAAGGAAUUGACGGGACUCCGCACAAGCGGUGGAUCAUGUUGUUUAAUUCGAAGGUACCCGAAAAACCUCACCAGGUCUUGACAUGCUUCUGCAAAGCUGUAGAAACACAGUGGAGGUUAUCAGUUGCACAGGUGGUGCAUGGUUGUCGUCAGCUCGUGUCGUGAGAUGUUGGGUUAAGUCCCGCAACGAGCGCAACCCUUAUUGUUAGUUACCAGCACGUAAUGGUGGGGACUUUAGCAAGACUGCCAGUGAUGAAUUGGAGGAAGGUGGGGACGACGUCAAAUCAUCAUGCCCCUUAUGACCUGGGCUACAAACGUGAUACAAUGGCUGUACAG
Molecule: ribosomal RNA, 830 nt
Filed under: 'Fraxinus uhdei' aster yellows phytoplasma
Lineage: Bacteria; Bacillati; Mycoplasmatota; Mollicutes; Acholeplasmatales; Acholeplasmataceae
Description: bacterial SSU rRNA
Rfam family: Bacterial small subunit ribosomal RNA
Source: RNAcentral